Molecule: ribosomal RNA, 269 nt
Filed under: uncultured prokaryote
Description: partial 16S ribosomal RNA
Rfam family: Bacterial small subunit ribosomal RNA
Source: RNAcentral
UACGUAGGUGGCAAGCGUUGUCCGGAAUCAUUGGGCGUAAAGCGCGCGCAGGCGGUCCUUUAAGUCUGAUGUGAAAUCUUGCGGCUCAACCGUAAGCGGUCAUUGGAAACUGGGGGACUUGAGUGCAGGAGAGGAAAACGGAAUUCCAUGUGUAGCGGUGAAAUGCGUAGAGAUAUGGAGGAACACCAGUGGCGAAGGCGGCUUUCUGGCCUGUAACUGACGCUGAGGCGCGAAAGCGUGGGGAGCAAACAGGAUUAGAUACCCGGGUA